RNAcentral lists this ribosomal RNA (268 nucleotides) under uncultured archaeon. RNAcentral's name for it is "partial 16S ribosomal RNA". It matches the Rfam family "Archaeal small subunit ribosomal RNA", at positions 477 to 747 of the family's 1478-position model. The record is from RNAcentral.
CAGCGCCACGAGUGGCAAUCGUGUAUUUGGCCUAAAGCGUCCGUAGCUGGCGUUGUAAAUCCUUUGUGAAAUCGUUUGGCUUAACCUAACGGCGUGCAGAGGACACUGCAAUGCUUGAGACCGGAAGGAGUCAGAGGUAUUCCUGGGGGAGCGGUAAAAUGCAUAAUCCCAGGAGGACCGCCAGUGGCGAAGGCGUCUGACUAGAACGGAUCUGACAGUGAGGGACGAAAGCCAGGGGAGCGAACCGGAUUAGAUACCCGAGUAGUCC